GGCGGACGGCUGAGUAACACGUAGGAACGUACCCCAAACUGAGGGAUAAGCACCGGAAACGGUGUCUAAUACCGCAUGUGGUCUUCGGACUAAAGCUCCGGCGGUUUGGGAACGGCCUGCGCAUGAUUAGCUUGUUGGUGAGGUAACGGCUCACCAAGGCGACGAUCAUUAGCUGGUCUGAGAGGAUGAUCAGCCAGACUGGGACUGAGAACGGCCCAGACUCCUACGGGAGGCAGCAGUAGGGAAUUUUCCACAAUGGGCGAAAGCCUGAUGGAGCAACGCCGCGUGCAGGAUGAAUGCCUUCGGGUUGUAAACUGCUUUUAUAUGUGACGAAUCUGACGGUAGCAUAUGAAUAAGGAUCGGCUAACUCCGUGCCAGCCGCCGCGG
Molecule: ribosomal RNA, 387 nt
Filed under: uncultured bacterium
Lineage: Bacteria
Description: bacterial SSU rRNA
Rfam family: Bacterial small subunit ribosomal RNA
Source: RNAcentral